AAGGCUUUAAGUUAAAAAAACUAAUAGCCUUCAAAGCUAUAAAUACAAGUACAAUCUUUUAAGCCUUA
Molecule: transfer RNA, 68 nt
Filed under: Dacus axanus
Lineage: Eukaryota; Metazoa; Arthropoda; Insecta; Diptera; Tephritidae
Description: tRNA-Trp
Rfam family: tRNA
About the family: Transfer RNA (tRNA) molecules are approximately 80 nucleotides in length. Their secondary structure includes four short double-helical elements and three loops (D, anti-codon, and T loops). Further hydrogen bonds mediate the characteristic L-shaped molecular structure. tRNAs have two regions of fundamental functional importance: the anti-codon, which is responsible for specific mRNA codon recognition, and the 3' end, to which the tRNAs corresponding amino acid is attached (by aminoacyl-tRNA synthetases). tRNAs cope with the degeneracy of the genetic code in two manners: having more than one tRNA (with a specific anti-codon) for a particular amino acid; and 'wobble' base-pairing, i.e. permitting non-standard base-pairing at the 3rd anti-codon position.
Source: RNAcentral